UCCCCAACCGAGGGUACGUAGGUAACUUGAAGCUUCAAAACUUCAAGUACAGUCACACCAUUAACAAAAACAUAAACACUUUGAAGAAUAAAGAGCAAAUUCAAGAAUGUGAAUACUUUAUUUCUUUAAAGGAAGAAGUUGGCUACAAAGCCUUAUUACAAAAAGAAAAGAAAAAGGAAGGCUUCAAGCACAAAAAUGGAAGACACUACUGAAGAGCUAUGUCCCUAAAACUAUGGCGAUGAUCUUCAAGCAAGCAUUCCAAAGUCUUCAAAGUCUCUACAUCGGUGGGAGACAAGGUGGGCAUUUCCAUGGUUGUGCCUUUCUCAAGCAACCUCCUAUUGAUACUGAGAAAGUGUAGCUUCUUGCUCCGAGAGAACACCUUGAAGUCGUGACCCUUCAGUUUCCAACUACUCUCGCUCACAUGCCAACGCUUCUAGACAUGCUUGGACGGAAGCCAAAUAAGUUUAUGUGGCUUGAUAAACUUCCAAAGCAGCUUGUUGAGAAUACCAAACUUGGGCAAUUGAUAAGUCUAUUGCCGCAAGUUGUUGAGCUCUAACCUUUAGACUCAACUUCUUCAAGGAAAUAGUAUGCAAGAAAGAAUACUUAGUUGAGGCGGCCAUAAGUUCGACAAUCUUGACUCUCAAAAGCGAGGAAUCAACAUUAAGAUUGUCAAUCGCAGAAACAAGCUUCAACAAGUAUUCUUUGAGCAAUA
Molecule: long non-coding RNA, 712 nt
Filed under: Malus domestica (apple)
Lineage: Eukaryota; Viridiplantae; Streptophyta; Magnoliopsida; Rosales; Rosaceae
Description: long non-coding RNA (MDOM_LNC004754)
Source: RNAcentral